GAACUGAAGAGUUUGAUCAUGGCUCAGAUUGGACGCUGGCAGCAGGGGCCUUCAACACAUGCAAGUCGAGCUUAUGAAGGGAGCUUGCCUUGGAUUCAGCGGCGGACGGGUGAGUAAUGCCUAGGAAUCUGCCUGGUAGUGGGGGAUAACGUCCGGAAACGGCCGCUAAUACCGCAUACGUCCUGAGGGAGAAAGUCGGGGAUCUUCGGACCUCACGCUAUCAGAUGAGCCUAGGUCGGAUUAGCUAGUUGGUGGGGUAAAGGCCUACCAAGGCGACGAUCCGUAACUGGUCUGAGAGGAUGAUCAGUCACACUGGAACUGAGACACGGUCCAGACUCCUACGGGAGGCAGCAGUGGGGAAUAUUGGACAAUGGGCGCAAGCCUGAUCCAGCCAUGCCGCGUGUGUGAAGAAGGUCUUCGGAUUGUAAAGCACUUUAAGUUGGGAGGAAGGGCAGUAAGUUAAUACCUUGCUGUUUGACGUUACCAACAGAAUAAGCACC
This 500-nucleotide ribosomal RNA is filed under the name Pseudomonas aeruginosa. Its description in RNAcentral is "bacterial SSU rRNA". It matches the Rfam family "Bacterial small subunit ribosomal RNA", at positions 1 to 494 of the family's 1533-position model. Lineage: Bacteria; Pseudomonadati; Pseudomonadota; Gammaproteobacteria; Pseudomonadales; Pseudomonadaceae. The record is from RNAcentral.